Non-coding RNA from Gossypium raimondii (Peruvian cotton), 145 nucleotides. NCBI's taxonomy places the organism in Eukaryota, Viridiplantae, Streptophyta, Magnoliopsida, Malvales, Malvaceae. The record is from Rfam.
UUGUUAAAAUUUUAUUUAUUUGUAUUGUUAAAAACUGACGUGACUGAUUAAAUAACCAGAUAGUGACUUGUCGUAUGUCAUGUAUACCUCAUGCUGACAUACGAUGACCAAUUUUUAGUUGUAGAAAUGGAUAAAUUUCUUAGAA